Labrus mixtus (cuckoo wrasse) is the source of this 1443-nucleotide long non-coding RNA. RefSeq lists it as uncharacterized. The record is from RefSeq and is a predicted model, not a curated record. NCBI's taxonomy places the organism in Eukaryota, Metazoa, Chordata, Actinopteri, Labriformes, Labridae. The transcript is spliced from 2 exons.
UUAUAUUUCUCACGCCUGGCCCUGAUCCUCUUCCGUAGAAAAUGAGACCCUUUGGGGUACUUUUUGAAGGUCUCAGUCUCGUCUCGUAAUUGAAAGCAUUUCGACUCGGUCUUGUCCCGGUCUCAGACUGGGCAGACUCCAGAUUUUAAAUCCAGACCGUACAAGACCACCACUGAUAAGCCAGUUUUCCACAUCAUCACUGCGAUAAGAAAGAAAAACGCCCCUGAAACAACAAAUAACUUUAAUCCAUUUGUAGUUUGGUUUGGCCCCCCGGUUACAGCUGCAACCUUCCCGGUGUUCGGGUUAUAAUCAGUGUCACAAAAUGAUUUUUAAUUGAUAUGUAUAGUCUGGUCUUGGGGUAAAAAAAUAAAUAAAAGAAGCCUCAAGGAUUUCAUUUAGACCCCUGGUACCUCUUAAAGUCUGUAGACAAUGAGUAAAAUUCCCACUCCACUGAACACACAUCCUGAAGGUAAAUAAUUCAGAAUACAGAUUUAAUGUUUCUAAAAAUGACUGAUACACAAAUGCUUUCAUUUUAUAUGCCUCAUGUGUUUGGACAUAUAAGAGCUUUAAUCAUGUUUUACUUGAAGCUUUAAAAAGUUGUGUAUCAUAAAACUCGUCACCAAGACGUAACUAUAAACUUUAAGUGCAUGCAGCAUGUCCAUAUAUGGUCAUGACGUAUUAAGCUAUGGAUGGCCCUUAUAGAGGGGAUCAUGCUCAGGAAGACUAAGUGCCUUCUUAUCCUUUUAUUCUUUUUUUAUAUUUGAAUAAAUAAACAGUUAAAACUUGUCCUGGCUUCAUUUUGCCACACAUGCUAAAUGUUAAAAAAAAGCAGGAUAUAUUUUUGCAGCUCACUUUCCCACCGUCUUUCAUGACAUCUCUUUAACGCUGCAAACUCUUUCCGCUGAUGCUUCAGGACUUGGAAAAACUGAAAACCACCGAUAUGUGGUUCCUAUUUGUUUCAGUGUACCCGUCAACACUCACAAACACAAGAGGCGGAUGUGGCCUCUUUUAAAAUCUUUGACCCCUGGGUGUCUCGAGGAGUACAUGAAAGCAUCAUGAAUUCAGUUCUGAUGACACAACAUGCUUUUCCUUCCAAAACAAAGUGACGCCAUCAAACAGUCCUCGUCCAAGCGCUCAUAUGUCCGAUUCCUUGGUGUGGCCUUUUGUCCCCGGUGACUCAGGGUGUGUUACAAGCUGUUUUUCAUUUUUUUUCAUUUAUUUUUUUUAAAUUACAGGCAAUUUAAUCUCCCGGUUUCUUUGCAGCUCCCAGAGAAGGCAGCACGAGAAGUGAGCUCAUCGAGGCUUAAGGAUCAUUAUGAAGCAGGUUACAUCGUGAGGAUACAAGGAUUAUUCUUUUUUAAAUCAAUUUAAGGGGGCAAAUCUUUGUGUUCAAAGGUUUUGCUGGCAGGUUUUAAACUGGCAAACAAAGACGUCUGAAUGAAC